Molecule: ribosomal RNA, 445 nt
Filed under: uncultured bacterium
Lineage: Bacteria
Description: bacterial SSU rRNA
Rfam family: Bacterial small subunit ribosomal RNA
Source: RNAcentral
GUGAGGAAUAUUGCGCAAUGGAGGCAACUCUGACGCAGCCAUGCCGCGUGCAGGAAGAAGGCGCUACGCGUUGUAAACUGCUUUUAACCGGGAAGAAACCCCAGGACGUGUCCUGGGUUGACGGUACCGGAGGAAUAAGCACCGGCUAACUUCGUGCCAGCAGCCGCGGUAAUACGAAGGGUGCAAGCGUUAUCCGGAUUCAUUGGGUUUAAAGGGUGCGUAGGCGGAGCGUUAAGUCAGUGGUGAAAUCCUGCAGCUUAACUGUAGACUUGCCAUUGAUACUGGGGCUCUUGAGUGCGCUUGAAGUGGGCGGAAUGUGCCGUGUAGCGGUGAAAUGCUUAGAUAUGGCACAGAACACCAAUUGCGAAGGCAGCUCACUAAGGCGAUACUGACGCUGAGGCACGAAAGCGUGGGGAUCGAACAGGAUUAGAAACCCUAGUAGUCC